GUUUUCGGCAGUGCCAGCAGAUUUUCAGUGCCCUGUGCUGGCAGCAAAAUGUGACUGUGGAGCCAGGGGGGACGGAGGACGGGGCCGGGACGGGGCCAGGGAGGCUUUGGGCCUAAUGGCUCCGCCUAGAGGCUCAGACACCCAGCUGUAGGGGAUGGCAGACAGCAGGGGAGAAGCCCCGGGAAGAGGGGAGGCUCCACCCGGAUGCGGCCAGCAUGCUCUGCUUUCUCCUAAAGCCUUGGGGGCCAGACGAGGAAGCGCUGGUGGGAACCCUUGGAAGCCACAAUGCACGUGUUAUCGCAUACCAGCCAGGUGAUGGUCACCAGGUCAGAGCAAAGGGCCAACGUGGGGACACCACGAGGACCGUAAGAGCACCCUUCAGCCUGCUCUCGGCCUUCUCCACCUCCCUGUGCCUCGCGCGGUGCACCAACCUGCCCAGGCCUGCCUGGGGAUCCACCUGGGUGCCUGCCCCCGCAGCCUGGACCAGCAUCAAGCCCAGAAAGCAGCCCCCCGCCCAGGGAGAGCAGCCCCGCUGGGUCCCUGGCAUGGGCUCCCAAGCUGGUUCCUCCACAUCACAGCUGCAGGGGCUGACGUGAGCAGCUGCGAGCCACACGUGGAGGUGAGGUGCUGGGCCGGGGCCAGACACUCCCUCUAGCCCUGUGUCUCCUGGGAUCUGGUUCCUGGGCAGCUGGCAGGCAUGAAGGGCAGGGAGUCUGGCUCUGGCUGGCCCCCGUGGUGCCUAGCCAUGCCCCUGCCUCUCACCAAGUUCCUGCAGGCACAGCCAGGAGAGUGCUGGGCCCAAGUGACCUCAGUGCCGCCUGGGCUCUGGGCGCGGACAACUUUGCCCUGAAGACGUGGAGAAGAGCCAGCAGCUCUCCUCCCCCUCUUUCCUGGGCAGAGUUCUUUGGGGCUCCACCUCCUUGCCCCAAGAUGAGUGACUCAUGGCUACAGGAGAGAGGAGGGUCAGGCAGAGGGAGCUCAAGAAGGGGGGGGAAGGUGAUGCUUCCCACCCCCCCCCCCAGCUGCUCUGCUCGGGAGCCAGCCUGGAAGGAAGCCAGGGGCUUAACCCCCCUUGCUGCUGGAGGAGGCCCCCUGAGGCACCCAGCGCCAAAGCUGGGGCGGGAGAAGGGAGACACGCUCUGGGUUAGGAUAAGGACUGGAGGAAGGAGGGCAGGUAGAGGGCUUUUAACAGGUGCAUUCUAACAUGGGCAAACCAGGAGCAGUCUGUUCAUCCUAAUCUGCCCUGUUUCUAGAACCCUCCACCUUCCCCCCUGUCCCAGGGGCAUGGUGAGGAGCUCUGGCUGCAUAAGGAGCUCAGGAGGGUGGGAGCUAUCAGAGCACAGGCUGUCCUAGAUUUGCACAGAACUUUAGAACUGGAAGGGAAGUGGGGCCCAAGAGGUUGAGAGGCUGGUCAGAAGCCCCGGUCACUAACUUGUCAGGACCAGACAAAUCCAGAGCCCCAACUCCCCAUCCUGGCCCUCUCAUGGCCAGCAGAUCAAACUGCUACACAUCUGUGCUUUAAAGGGGGGAACUUUGUACAUGCCAGGGGGAUGCUCCAGGGCCCAAUGGCCCCAAACACCACAAGGGUUCCCUGCUGGAAAAGCUUCAACCCCACACCGGCCCACCUGGGCAAGGACCCCAAGUGGCUCUGAACCAGCACCUCCAGGGUGCAGGGCCUGGAAUCCAGGCUCUCCGCUCUCUAAGGGAAGCAAAAGUAGAGUCUGGCUCUCUGUGGCCUGGCUCACCCACUGGAAAGGGGCAGAACAUGUGGGUGGGUGACCAGGUGAGGGAGAGCAUGCCUGGGUGCAUGGGGGUGGUGGGGGGGGGGAGAGCAGGUGUAUUGGAGGGAGGGGGCCUUCCUCUUGCAGAGAACUUAGGAGUUGUGCUGUGAAGGGGAAGCAGAGGGAUUAGAGGACGGGCCUGGGAGAGAGGAACCUCCAGGAGAGAGGGUGGGGAUGGCAGCAGGUGGCAGAGAGGUGCCACGGCUGACACUGCCACCCCUACCCCCACCCCAUAGCCGGCCCAUCUCCACAAUCCCCUUGCUAAGGCCGCCAACGACACGAGGGGACUAAUUUAGGAGUAUUUUUAAAACUGUGGCCCUGGUGGAGGGGUUUAGCAGUUGUCAGCCAUCUGGAGUACCGUCACCUCCCUGAUCCUAUAGCCCUAAACCCAAAGCUGGUUACAGCUCGAGGGGGAGGCGGCAGGUGGGUGGGGUGGGGGCCUGUCCCUGGGAGGUGCCCACAGGCCUGGGAAGCGCCUCCCCUUGCCCCGGGAGGGGGAUGGGGGCUGGAGAGGGGGCUGGAGAGCCUGGUGUCCUCUGUGCCCACUCAGGCUCCCCCGCCCGCUCACGCACGCUCGCUCCCUGGGCCGCGCCGGCUCGCGCAGGGGCCGUCAGGUAAAUUAGAUCUGAAAGCUGACAAUUUCUGACCAUAUUUCCUUGAUUAUUUCAAACAAAUGCACAGCAGCCGCUGUAAGGAGAUUAAAGUGACAUAAACGUCCCGAGUGGGAGGGGGGAGGGCAGAGGAUUCAGGUCACCCCCAUCCGUCCCCCGCCUGACAGACGCUAUAUCGCUAUCCAAUCCAAUAAAAAAUCCCCCCCUUUUGCUUUAAUUAAUUUUACAGCUAGCUUGCUUAAUUACUUUCAAUCAAAAUCCUCCUGCCAUCGCAAAAUUAGAGAUGGUUGAGCUCCAUUAGCCUAAAUUCUUCAUUUCCAUACAGAAAAGAGGCUGUCUGCGUAGCCAGCCUGGGCCCCUGGCAGGACAGACGCCCGUCUGCCCGCCCGCUGCCGGCCAGCCCACUCCUGGCCUGCGCUCCGUGGCUGUCUCUGGCCUGUGCCUCCCCACCCCCACUCUGUUCCACCGCUGCUCCUGGAGGGGGGAUGGAGUUGAGGUCCAGGAGGGUACACUCCCCCCCACCUUCCAACUUUUCCCCCCAACUCGGCCAGGGCCUGUGGAGCUGGGCUGGACAACCAGGGCGGGCUUGCUCCUGGCUGAAGGAAUGGCAGAUCCUGGGACCCUGCUUUCCUGCUAAGGGGCCCCUGCUGCUCCCCUGGGGAGCCUAGUCUCCUGGCUGCCCAAGCCCAGAGCAGCCGGUUCUGGGUCCUCGGCCUCAGGCCUCCUCAGAAAGCAGAGCUCCUGGCCGGGCAGGAGCCCUUCCAGGCUCGCAUGCAGGCCCUGGUCAGUGUAGACCCCUGGAACCGACAUCACCCAGCGUCCCCUGUCCGCCGUUUCCGGGCCGGGGUCCUUGCUCCCUGUCUGAGCCACUCGAGGGCCAGCUGUCUCAGUGGUGCUAAAAGGCAGUGCAGCAGCCCCCACACACUCUGGUGUUCUCCAGGGGGCCUCCGCACGGGCCCCUCCUGGCCCUCUCUCGUCCCCGGUCCCCAGCCCGCAACAGCUGCUCCUCCACCCCCAGCAGGGCGAGGGUGGGUGGCGGGUCUGGGCUCUGUCCACAUCCUGUGCCUGCACCGGCGGCGCUCUCCUCCUCCCUUCCACCUGCCUCCUCCUCACGGCCCCCAGCCCCAACUCCGGAAGCUCCACUUCAGGUUUUCCGAGCUACAGCCCUGAGUGUCACCACGGGGUCCAGCCCGACCUGGGCUCCAGCUGAUUAAGGAUCUGCAACAGGAUGUAGGGAUUAUGGUAAAACCUGGCUCCGGAUCUACAGGGGCAGGGGGCCAAGUCCUGACUCUGGGACUCCCCUCCCCUCCCAUUUAUUUCUGCCUGCUUCCUCCCUCUCAGCUGCCAAGGGCCCAGGGUGGCUGAGCCUCCAGGUCCUUCCUGGGGUCUUGGCUGGACUCUGACGAGUGGAUGAUAUAGGGUACCAUUAAGGGACCCGGGGCGAAUCUGGCAGAAAGGCAAGAUCAGGACGGGUGGGGAAGGGGAGUUAUGGCUGAAAUCUGCCCUGGACCCUUUAAUGGGGCAGGAAGCUAAGCUGGUCUUCCUCAGGGAACGGGUAUGGAGGCGGGAUGUCCCGGGUCUGACUUCUGGGCAAAGGCAGAGCCAGGUGGGGAAGGAAGAGCUCUGAAGGCUUGCUGAGGCUCUCAUAGGCAGCGGGCCUUAGGGCUGUCCCGCUGCUGUGGCUGCACGACUCCAGGGUGUCAGGCCACUGUGGUCAGGUGGGGCAGCCGAACCUGGACCUCCAGAGCCUGGCCUCUGGGACGCCAGGGGCCCACUGGUCUGUCUACAGGCUCCUCACUGGUCUUGUGCUAAGGGUCAGCCCACGUCCUCUUCUUCCGGGGUCCAGGUGAGUUUCUCAAAUAUAUCCCAGGCACCUAUAGGCGUGUAUUUCCCAGGGUCAGGGACUCAGGGAGGAUGGUUUCGGGUGUCAGAGGGCUCCGAGUCUGAUGGGGAAGGCACAGCAGCACUGGGGCCUUCCACACACCCCUGGAGGCACAGGAGGGAGGCCAGCUGUGAGCUCCAGGAGGGCUUCCUGGAGCCCAGGCCCUGGCUGUGCCUGGGAGGCCAGCAGGUGCAGGAGGUAAAGAGGGGUAGUAAGCAGACACACAGACAUGCCACCGUCCCAGCUGGGCUCCCCGGGGCUCCGACUCCGACUGCAGGGCUGCCUGCCACACAGGUCUGCCUCUUCCCUCCUGCCCCCUCGUCAGUGAGUCAUCAGCAGAGGUGCCUAGGAGGCAGGAAUGAUCAGAGAGGCCUGUCCUCAGUGGCACCUGCUGACUUCCUGGCUGCUCUCCCUCCCACAGGGACAGGGCUGAGCUGGGUUCCUGCUCUGCCCCCAAGCACCAGGCCUGGCACAGACGGGUGGAACUGGUAGAAGGGAGGCUGGAAGAGUGAGUUCUGGGCCAGUUACCCAGGGCUCGAAGGAGCACAGCCCUGGGGCCGGCACAGCUCCCCACCAACCUGCCAGCCAGCGCCUGUGCGACAGGGAAGCACCCACCUCCUUCGACCCAGGGCCCGGCUGCCCCACCCUGACCCCACGCAAACUUCGGAGGUCCCAGGAGAAAUUUCAUUCCUCCUGGAAGCCCUCCGAGAUCACCACGCUCUGUAGGGUCCCUUCCUCGUCCUCUCAUGACGCCCUGCUCCAUGCGGUAGCACUUCUGUAAUAACUUGUUUAAUUACCCUUCUGUCUCCCUAGACUGCAGGACCCGUAGGAUGGGACUACUGUUUUAGCAGAGCGCCUGACCCAAAUAAAUAUUUACUGAAUGGAUACAGAAAACUAAGUGCUUCUCAAGUUCA
Acinonyx jubatus (cheetah) is the source of this 5188-nucleotide long non-coding RNA. RefSeq lists it as uncharacterized. The transcript is spliced from 3 exons. The record is from RefSeq and is a predicted model, not a curated record. Lineage: Eukaryota; Metazoa; Chordata; Mammalia; Carnivora; Felidae.